This 484-nucleotide ribosomal RNA is filed under the name uncultured bacterium. Its description in RNAcentral is "partial 16S ribosomal RNA". It matches the Rfam family "Bacterial small subunit ribosomal RNA", at positions 30 to 507 of the family's 1533-position model. The record is from RNAcentral.
AUUGAACGCUGGCGGCAGGCCUAACACAUGCAAGUCGAGCGGAUGAAGGGAGCUUGCUCCUGGAUUCAGCGGCGGACGGGUGAGUAAUGCCUAGGAAUCUGCCUGGUAGUGGGGGAUAACGUCCGGAAACGGGCGCUAAUACCGCAUACGUCCUGAGGGAGAAAGUGGGGGAUCUUCGGACCUCACGCUAUCAGAUGAGCCUAGGUCGGAUUAGAUAGUUGGUGGGGUAAAGGCCUACCAAGGCGACGAUCCGUAACUGGUCUGAGAGGAUGAUCAGUCACACUGGAACUGAGACACGGUCCAGACUCCUACGGGAGGCAGCAGUGGGGAAUAUUGGACAAUGGGCGAAAGCCUGAUCCAGCCAUGCCGCGUGUGUGAAGAAGGUCUUCGGAUUGUAAAGCACUUUAAGUUGGGAGGAAGGACAGUAAGUUAAUACCUUGCUGUUUUGACGUUACCAACAGAAUAAGCACCGGCUAACUUCGUG